This 109-nucleotide non-coding RNA is filed under the name Oceanobacillus massiliensis. RNAcentral's name for it is "SAM riboswitch (S box leader)". It matches the Rfam family "SAM riboswitch aptamer (S box leader)". Rfam says of the family: The SAM riboswitch is found upstream of a number of genes which code for proteins involved in methionine or cysteine biosynthesis in Gram-positive bacteria. The record is from RNAcentral. Lineage: Bacteria; Bacillati; Bacillota; Bacilli; Caryophanales; Bacillaceae.
UCUUAUCAAGAGUAGCUGAGGGACUGGCCCAAUGAAGCUCGGCAACCUUUAUGUGUUCAACAUAGAAAGGUGCUAAAUCCAGCAAAACGUUAUGUUUUGGAAGAUAAGA